Long non-coding RNA from Triticum aestivum (bread wheat), 1683 nucleotides. RefSeq lists it as uncharacterized. Lineage: Eukaryota; Viridiplantae; Streptophyta; Magnoliopsida; Poales; Poaceae. The record is from RefSeq and is a predicted model, not a curated record. The transcript is spliced from 6 exons.
CCUUCACAACAGAACAUCACGAGCGAGUGGUCGAUGGACUGCCAAUGCUGCUCCAAAGGGGCUGACCUUCACCUCCCCGUGUCCCUGAACAAGAUGGACCAACGAGUUGUGACCAUGUCCUCUGCGAGAAGUGCAUCAAGGUGGCCAUCAAAUUGUCGCUGCUACUACUGCUCGACCUGUGCUCUGAACGGGGCUGACACCGCGUGCUGCUUGCCAUUGGUGCAGGCCAUGGAGCUUCUGCUUGCCAUGCGUGCCUCCUUCCUUCGGCAGAAGCACCAGGUCGCCACUGGAGCCGGACAAGGUCAUGAUGACUUGCCUUACCUGGUGAGGUAUUGGCUAGGAAGAGUGCAAGCCGCCACCACCAUGUACCAGAUGGCGCCAUCAAGGACAUCAUACUGCUGAUGAUCUACAGGUCCAUUUCUCCUUUUCUCCCUCUCUCUCAAAUGUCAAGCUCGAUUCUUAUCAUUUUGCACAAUGGAGGUCCCCUGAAAGCCACUUGACCGAAAUCACGUGUCUUGUGAUAUGCAUUUCAUACGGUUGCUUUCCCUUGAUAUUUUCCUGCUUUGUAUUUGUCUUAUGGAUACGAACAAAUAUGAUUAUGAUUCCUGCAUUGCAUAUGGUUGCUUUCCAUUGAUGAUAAAUGGUGAACAACUAUGGUGUUUUUCCAGCUUAACUACAGAAAGUUGAAAUGUGCCUAGCUCGAACCCAUUUGUCACUCAAGCGUCUUCCUUUCUACUUCAUAUAUGGGUCUGCUUCUAUCUUUGCCUGUGUUGCUGAAGAUAGAAUGGAUCUUCUUAGGGCUGCGAUUAUUGGCCCUAAGGGAACACCCUACCAUGAUGGCCUCUUCUUCUUUGAUGCACAUUUUACCUCUAAUUAUCCUUCUGAGCCUCCGUUGGUGCAUUACCAUUCUGGAGGGCUUUGACUUAAUCCGAACUUGUAUAAUUGUGGAAAAGUCUGCCUCAUUGGUUUUAUAAACUACCAUGAGGGCUCUUCAUCUCCAGUCGCUGGUCCACUGCUUCUCUGGUUUUAUAAAAAGAGCUGCAGUAACAACUAAGCAUCCGAUAUAUAAUAACAUCAUUAAAGGGGCACGGAGCGGCGAUCCAAUAUACACCGGCGAUGAAGGAAGUGGGGAUGGACAUUCGUGGAUUUGCCGUCCCUGAUUUGCUUUGUGGAGGUAUAAUCUUUCAUAAUGUGUUGUUAACAUAUCUCUGGAAUAAGUUCUUAUGUUCAGUACAUAUAGUUUGGCUGAUUAUCUUUUAGGGGCCUUCUUUGGAAAGGCUUCGACAGACUGUUUGAAUUACUGCCUUAUUAGGUUAAUGGAAUUUGAACAUGUGACUUUAUCUUAGUGUCAACCAUACAAAGGAAUUAAUGACCUGUUCUUAAUGAUAUAUAGAGUAGGCAGUAGUGCAUGGUAAUAAUAAAAAAUGCAUCAUGUGUGUGUGCAGGACACAUGCCCAUGAUUCAUAAUGAUUUGCGGCAGUCUUAGAAGAAAAUUUCCCAUUGCUUUCAUCCCCUUUUGAGUGUCAAUUGCAAAGUUCAUCCGUUGGUGAAAGGAAACUGUACUCUUCUUUGUUUUAGUGCUCUGUCUCCCUACUUCUAUGACAGAAUGGUGUGGCUUUGUGUACAGUAAAUGUUCUCUACUCUUGCAUCCCAUGUAUUACUAUUGACAUGGUUUGUCUACAC